GGAGAGAUGGCUCAGCGGUUAAGAGCACUGUACUGUUCUUCCAGAGGUCCUGAGUUCAAUUCCCAGCAACCACA
RNAcentral lists this transfer RNA (74 nucleotides) under Mus musculus (house mouse). RNAcentral's name for it is "tRNA-Asn". The record is from RNAcentral. Lineage: Eukaryota; Metazoa; Chordata; Mammalia; Rodentia; Muridae.